This 389-nucleotide ribosomal RNA is filed under the name uncultured bacterium. RNAcentral describes it as "bacterial SSU rRNA". It matches the Rfam family "Bacterial small subunit ribosomal RNA", at positions 28 to 417 of the family's 1533-position model. The record is from RNAcentral.
GACGAACGCUGGCGGCGUGCUUAACACAUGCAAGUCGAGCGGUAAGGCCCUUUCGGGGGUACACGAGCGGCGAACGGGUGAGUAACACGUGGGUGACCUGCCCUCAGCUCUGGGGAUAAGCCUGGGAAACCGGGUCUAAUACUGGAUAUGACUCCAUGACGCAUGUUGUGGGGUGGAAAGCCUUGUGCGGCUAGAGAUGGGCCCGCGGCCUAUCAGCUUGUUGGUGGGGNGAUGGCCUACCAAGGCGACGACGGGUAGCCGGCCUGAGAGGGCGACCGGCCACACUGGGACUGAGACACGGCCCAGACUCCUACGGGAGGCAGCAGUGGGGAAUCUUGCGCAAUGGGCGAAAGCCUGACGCAGCGACGCCGCGUGAGGGAUGACGGCCU